Molecule: ribosomal RNA, 465 nt
Filed under: Vreelandella stevensii
Lineage: Bacteria; Pseudomonadati; Pseudomonadota; Gammaproteobacteria; Oceanospirillales; Halomonadaceae
Description: partial 16S ribosomal RNA
Rfam family: Bacterial small subunit ribosomal RNA
Source: RNAcentral
CCUACGGGUGGCUGCAGUGGGGAAUAUUGGACAAUGGGGGGAACCCUGAUCCAGCCAUGCCGCGUGUGUGAAGAAGGCCCUCGGGUUGUAAAGCACUUUCAGUGAGGAAGAACGCCUGGUGGUUAAUACCCAUCAGGAAAGACAUCAUUCACAGAAGAAGCACCGGCUAACUCCGUGCCAGCAGCCGCGGUAAUACGGAGGGUGCGAGCGUUAAUCGGAAUUACUGGGCGUAAAGCGCGCGUAGGUGGCUUGAUAAGCCGGUUGUGAAAGCCCCGGGCUCAACCUGGGAACGGCAUCCGGAACUGUCAAGCUAGAGUGCAGGAGAGGAAGGUAGAAUUCCCGGUGUAGCGGUGAAAUGCGUAGAGAUCGGGAGGAAUACCAGUGGCGAAGGCGGCCUUCUGGACUGACACUGACACUGAGGUGCGAAAGCGUGGGUAGCAAACAGGAUUAGAUACCCGUGUAGUC